RNAcentral lists this transfer RNA (73 nucleotides) under Phycisphaerae bacterium. RNAcentral's name for it is "tRNA-Thr". It matches the Rfam family "tRNA". From Rfam's summary of the family: Transfer RNA (tRNA) molecules are approximately 80 nucleotides in length. Their secondary structure includes four short double-helical elements and three loops (D, anti-codon, and T loops). Further hydrogen bonds mediate the characteristic L-shaped molecular structure. tRNAs have two regions of fundamental functional importance: the anti-codon, which is responsible for specific mRNA codon recognition, and the 3' end, to which the tRNAs corresponding amino acid is attached (by aminoacyl-tRNA synthetases). tRNAs cope with the degeneracy of the genetic code in two manners: having more than one tRNA (with a specific anti-codon) for a particular amino acid; and 'wobble' base-pairing, i.e. permitting non-standard base-pairing at the 3rd anti-codon position. RNAcentral also lists the same sequence under 1 other name. Lineage: Bacteria; Pseudomonadati; Planctomycetota; Phycisphaerae. The record is from RNAcentral.
GCCGCCGUAGCUCAGUUGGUAGAGCGAGGCUUUCGUAAAGCCUAGGUCCUGGGUUCGAGUCCCAGCGGUGGCU